GUUCGCCUACGGGGGGCAGCAGUGGGGGAUAUUGCACAAUGGGGGAAACCCUGAUGCAGCGACGCCGCGUGGGUGAAGAAGCGCCUCGGCGCGUAAAGCCCUGUCAGCAGGGAAGAAAUUGACAGUACCUCAGGAGGAAGCUCCGGCUAACUAUGUGCCAGCAGCCGCGGUAAUACAUAGGGAGCAAGCGUUAUCCGGAUUUACUGGGUGUAAAGGGGGCGCAGACGGCGAUGCAAGCCAGGAGUGAAAGCCCGGGGCCCAACCCCGGGACUGCUCUUGGAACUGCGUGGCUGGAGUGCAGGAGG
RNAcentral lists this ribosomal RNA (305 nucleotides) under uncultured bacterium. RNAcentral describes it as "bacterial SSU rRNA". It matches the Rfam family "Bacterial small subunit ribosomal RNA", at positions 333 to 655 of the family's 1533-position model. The record is from RNAcentral.